RNA transcript from Vidua chalybeata, 774 nucleotides. It is a transcript of the gene named primary cilia formation, with no coding region annotated. The transcript is spliced from 6 exons. The record is from RefSeq and is a predicted model, not a curated record. NCBI's taxonomy places the organism in Eukaryota, Metazoa, Chordata, Aves, Passeriformes, Viduidae.
CAUUCCCGAGGGAAAUGCCGCACCCUGGGCUUUUCCCCAUCCCCCUGCUCCCUGCCCGCAGCGCCUGAGCCCGUCCCGGGGGGCUCUGCCCGGCCAGGAUGGCAGCGCGGCACGACCCCAAAGCUGUGGCAAAGCUCAUCUCCUUUGGGACGACUCAAGAACGGAAAAUGUUCCCCCACUACUUCGCCCCAGACAGGCUGGGCAUCGAGGUGCUCGGGGUGCGGGGCAGCCCCUUCCUGGGGCCAGGCUCUUACCUGGGGCCACAGGAGAACAUCCCGAAAUCCUCCAUGAGCACCCGGGGGUACGUGCUGGGAGCCAGGACAGCCCCGCGCUUCCAGCAGAAGGCUCAGUUCCCUUCCCGCACUCCCCGCUCCGUGUCCCGCAGGCCGUUUCCCCCGGUCCCGCCGCCUACGGGCCCUUCCCGGCGCAGCGCGGCCGGGGCCGGCCCGCCCCGGUUCCCUUCUCCUCCAGCAGCCGCCGCUUCCCGAGCCGCCCUCGGGACCAGGAUCUGUACCCCGGGCCCGGCACGUACGAGCUGCAGGAGCCCUCGGGCAGGAAAUUCGCGCGGCCGAUGAAAUUCGGGGCUCCCGAGCGGGCGGCGGCGCCGCGGCCCCGCCGAGGACGCGGAAGAUGACUGCGGAUAAAAAAUUCCAGAAGAAUCGGGGCAGGGAGGCCCUGGGGGUGCAGCAGAGCUGAGCAGAAACGCCUUUCCUGGGGGAAAAUCCGCAUUUCGGCCGCGGCAGCACCGGGAUAAAUCGCAUUUUUCCCAAUGGU